RNAcentral lists this long non-coding RNA (357 nucleotides) under Vitis vinifera (wine grape). RNAcentral describes it as "long non-coding RNA (VVIN_LNC000082)". The record is from RNAcentral. Lineage: Eukaryota; Viridiplantae; Streptophyta; Magnoliopsida; Vitales; Vitaceae.
AAAUGGGUUUUCAUUUCUCUCCUCAUCUAAUGAUGGGUUUCGAGUAUCCCGUGAAAAUCCAGCUAGAUUCCGUCAGGGUUUGCUGAUCUUUUCAUGUUUUGUGUUGGAUUUCAGAUGAUUAUGGCGGCGAUCGAGGCUCUGAACGACAAGGGCGGCUCCAACAAGUCCUCUAUCUCCAAGUACAUCGAGUCGACGUACGGAGAUCUGCCGGCGGCUCACUCCACCCUGCUGGCGCACCACCUCAACAAGAUGAAACAGAGCGGCGACCUCGUUAUGGUCAAGAACAACUACAUGAAGCCCGACCCUAACGCGCCGCCGCGGAGGGGUCGCGGCCGUCCUCCCAAGCCCAAGGUUCCU